This is a long non-coding RNA of Empidonax traillii (willow flycatcher), 331 nucleotides long. RefSeq lists it as uncharacterized. The transcript is spliced from 3 exons. The record is from RefSeq and is a predicted model, not a curated record. Lineage: Eukaryota; Metazoa; Chordata; Aves; Passeriformes; Tyrannidae.
UUUUAGGUUACCUUGAUCCGUCUUAGCAUGUGUGAAUGUGACUUCCUGUAGAAAUCUGAGCUUGAAAACAAAAGCAUAAGUUCAUCACCCUUGGCCAAAGAGUUCAUAUUCAGAAAGGCAUUUUGCGGGGAAUUAACACUUCUCCCUGCCACUAUGCACUUGGAUCUCAAGUGCAUACCACGUGCUUUUCUAACUUGGGACCUCUGUCAGCACAUAAAUACAGAGGAAAACAGGCUACACUGGAAAGGAAGUGUGUUUUAACCUGGAAAGGAUGAUGAAGUGCUUCCUUCAUAUUCACAGAAUCACUAGUCCCACUCUGGUCAUGAAUUCU